Molecule: ribosomal RNA, 498 nt
Filed under: uncultured bacterium
Lineage: Bacteria
Description: partial 16S ribosomal RNA
Rfam family: Bacterial small subunit ribosomal RNA
Source: RNAcentral
GAUGAACGCUGGCGGCGUGCCUAAUACAUGCAAGUCGAGCGAACGGACGAGAAGCUUGCUUCUCUGAUGUUAGCGGCGGACGGGUGAGUAACACGUGGAUAACCUACCUAUAAGACUGGGAUAACUUCGGGAAACCGGAGCUAAUACCGGAUGAUAUUUUGAACCGCAUGGUUCAAAAGUGAAAGACGGUCUUGCUGUCACUUAUAGAUGGAUCCGCGCUGCAUUAGCUAGUUGGUAAGGUAAUGGCUUACCAAGGCAACGAUGCAUAGCCGACCUGAGAGGGUGAUCGGCCACACUGGAACUGAGACACGGUCCAGACUCCUACGGGAGGCAGCAGUAGGGAAUCUUCCGCAAUGGGCGAAAGCCUGACGGAGCAACGCCGCGUGAGUGAUGAAGGUCUUCGGAUCGUAAAACUCUGUUAUUAGGGAAGAACAUAUGUGUAAGUAACUGUGCACAUCUUGACGGUACCUAAUCAGAAAGCCACGGCUAACUACGUGC